AAGGGAGACCUAAUUCAGGUAUGGGACGAAAAAAAAGUAGUCGCUACCAAGAAUCAAUCCCAAAAGGUCGGAGCGAGGUAUGAGGCUUUCAAACUAGGUUCUGGGUUCACACAAGACCUGAAUCAGGAACAAGGGCUAUUAGCUCAGGUGGUUAGAGCGCACCCCUGAUAAGGGUGAGGUCCCUGGUUCGAGUCCAGGAUGGCCCACCUGCACAGGUGGCCAAAACCAAGAAAAGAAGCGAGGAAUCAGCACCUGCUCUUACCUACAUAGUAAGAGAGAAUGCUGGCUCUGAGUACAGAGUCCAGAGGAACCUUGAAAACUGCAUAGAGCUAGGUGAAAAAGCCAAAAAAGAAGACCGCAA
This 361-nucleotide transfer RNA is filed under the name Microcystis aeruginosa. RNAcentral's name for it is "16S-23S ribosomal RNA intergenic spacer". The stretch from base 133 to 206 matches the Rfam family "tRNA". The record is from RNAcentral. Lineage: Bacteria; Bacillati; Cyanobacteriota; Cyanophyceae; Chroococcales; Microcystaceae.